UAAAGCUACUAAGGGCAUAUGGUGGAUAUCUUGGCAGCAAGAGACGAAGAAGGACGCGGUCAAACUGCGAAAAGUUCCGGGGAGUUGUUAAGCGAGCAUUGAUCCGGAAAUCUCCGAAUGGGGCAACCCUUUAACAUGAAAGUGUUAAAACCUAGUGGUGAGUAAAGUAGCCACUAAGGAGUGAACGUGGGGAACUGAAACAUCUAAGUACCCACAGGAAAAGAAAUCAAAUGAGAUUGCGAAAGUAGCGGCGAGCGAAAUCGCAUUGGCCCAAACCAACGUGCAUGCACGUUGGGGUUGUAGGACCUGCAUAAGGCGAAGACUGGUAAAAGAAACAUCUGGGAAGGUGUACCAAAGAGGGUGAAAGUCCCGUAUUUGAAACUGGUCGUAAGCUGGCGGGAAUCCUGAGUAAGGCGAGGCACGUGGAACCUUGUCUGAAUCUGGGGAGACCACUCUCCAAGGCUAAAUACUCCUUGCUGACCGAUAGUGUACAAGUACCGUGAGGGAAAGAUGAAAAGAACCCCGAUGAGGGGAGUGAAAUAGAACUUGAAACCGUAUGCUUACAGACAGUCAGAGGGCUAUUGUAAGGCCUAAUGACGUACCUUUUGCAUUAUGAUUCAGCGAGUUAGUGUAUGUAGCGAGGUUAAGUCGUUGCAGAUGAAGCCGUAGGGAAACCGAGUCUGAAUAGGGCGUUAGUUUCAUGCACUAGACCCGAAACGGGAUGAGCUAACCAUGAGCAGGUUGAAGCGGGGGUAACACCUCGUGGAGGACCGAACUCGUUGUCGUUGAAAAGACUUGGGAUGACUUGUGGUUAGGGGUGAAAGGCCAAUCAAAUUCCGUGAUAGCUGGUUCUCUUCGAAAUGCAUUUAGGUGCAGCGUGUAGCGAUUACUGUCGGGGGUAUAGCACUGACUUGGCUAGGGGCAUUACCGUGCUACCAAACCAUAUCAAACUCAGAAUACCGACAAGUACAGCUAUGCAGUGAGGCGGUGGAUGCUAAGGUCAAUCGCCGAGAGGGAAAGAGCCCAGAUCACCGGCUAAGGUCCCAAAAUUAAGGCUAAGUGGAGAAGGUUGUGGAACUACUGUGACAUCCAGGAGGUUGGCUUAGAAGCAGCCAUCCUUUAAAGAAAGCGUAAUAGCUCACUGGACUAGUGGUUCUGCGCCGAAAAUGUAACGGGGCUAAAGCCUUAUACCGAAGCCGUGAACUUUUAAAGUGGUAGAAGAGCAUUGUGUUUGCUGAUGAAGGUGUACCGUAAGGAGCACUGGAGGUAUCACAAGAGCGGAUGCUGAAAUGAGUAGCGAUAAAGAGAGUGAGAAUCUCUCUCACCGAAAAUCCAAGGGUUCCUGGGCCAGGUGACUCCGCCCAGGGUGAGUCGGAUCCUAAGAUGAGGCCAAACGGCGUAAUCGAUGGGUAACAGGUUAAUAUUCCUGUACUUAGUAUGUAUCGUUUGACUGAAGGAGUGACGGAGAAAGAUAGCAUGGCCAGAGAUUGGUUGUUCUGGUUUAAGCAAGUAGGUGGGGACGGUAGGCAAAUCCGCUGUCCUAUUUAAACACUGAGAUGUGAUGACGAGCUCUAGCGAUAGAGCGAAGUGUGUGACUCUUGGCUUCCAAGAAAAGCUUCGUAGGGAGAUAUGUAUUAAUCCGUACCGUAAACCGACACAGGUGGAUGAGGAGAAAAUCCUAAGGUGUGUGGACUAACUCUAGUUAAGGAACUCUGCAAGUUUGAACCGUAACUUCGGGAGAAGGUUCGCCUUUUGGUGUGUAGUCACUUGCUGACGAAGCACUGGGAGGUCGCAGUGAAAUGGGGGUAGCGACUGUUUAUCAAAAACACAGGUCUACGCAAACACGAAAGUGGAAGUAUGUGGACUGACGCCUGCCCGGUGCUGGAAGGUUAACAGGAGAGGUUAUCCGCAAGGAGAAGCCUUGAAUCGAAGCCCCAGUAAACGGCGGCCGUAACUAUAACGGUCCUAAGGUAGCGAAAUUCCUUGUCGGGUAAGUUCCGACCUGCACGAAUGGCGUAACGACUUCCCCACUGUCUCAACUAGAGGUCCAGCGAAAUUGGUGAGCGCGUGAAGAAACGCGCUACCCGCGGAAGGACGAAAAGACCCCGUGAACCUUUACUGUAACUUGACAUUGGGUUUUGAUGAACAAUGCGUAGGAUAGGUGGGAGCUUUUGAUCCGUGCGUUCUGGCGUACGGGGAGGUGUCCUUGAAAUACCACCCUUUGUUUAUCGAAAUCCUAACCUAUGAUCCUGAUCGGGUCAGGGGACAAUGUCUGGUGGGCAGUUUGACUGGGGCGGUCGCCUCCUAAAGAGUAACGGAGGCGCACUAAGGUUCCCUCAGCCUGAAUUGAAACCAGGCGUAGAGUGUAAACGCAUAAGGGAGCUUGACUGCGAGACCAACAUGUCUAGCAGGUGCGAAAGCAGGUGUUAGUGAUCCGGUGGUUCCGAGUGGAAGGGCCAUCGCUCAACGGAUAAAAGGUACUCCGGGGAUAACA
Molecule: ribosomal RNA, 2494 nt
Filed under: freshwater metagenome
Description: bacterial LSU rRNA
Rfam family: Bacterial large subunit ribosomal RNA
Source: RNAcentral